RNAcentral lists this transfer RNA (73 nucleotides) under Ictidomys tridecemlineatus (thirteen-lined ground squirrel). RNAcentral's name for it is "Spermophilus tridecemlineatus (thirteen-lined ground squirrel) tRNA". It matches the Rfam family "tRNA". Rfam says of the family: Transfer RNA (tRNA) molecules are approximately 80 nucleotides in length. Their secondary structure includes four short double-helical elements and three loops (D, anti-codon, and T loops). Lineage: Eukaryota; Metazoa; Chordata; Mammalia; Rodentia; Sciuridae. The record is from Rfam by way of RNAcentral.
GGAGAUAUAGCUCAGUUGGUAGAGUGCAUGCCUACCAUGCACUAGGCCAUUGGUUCAAUCCCCAGUACCACCG